Balaenoptera ricei (Rice's whale) is the source of this 315-nucleotide long non-coding RNA. RefSeq lists it as uncharacterized. Lineage: Eukaryota; Metazoa; Chordata; Mammalia; Artiodactyla; Balaenopteridae. The record is from RefSeq and is a predicted model, not a curated record. The transcript is spliced from 3 exons.
UAGAGAAGCUUAUGGCGGAGGAACCGUACACACAUUUCAGCAGUGUAAGCUCGGGAUGAUGGCGGUUUCUGUGCAGCUGAGCUACAGUGAAAAAACACUGGACCUGGGCUCAGGAAAUCAGCUUAGAGUCUGAAUUCUGCUACUUGUCAUUUGGAUAGAGGUGUUUCUUUGAGAUCAAUUUUCACACGUGUGAAAUGGUGAUAAUUCUACGUUCUCUGCUCCGUUUCUAAGCUGGCUGUGAGGAUGGAAGGAUAACGUUGAAAGCUGGUUCUUGGUCACCUUCACCUCCCAUCAAGCAAUCUCCUCUUGCCGACA